This 69-nucleotide transfer RNA is filed under the name Marmota monax (woodchuck). Its description in RNAcentral is "tRNA.Ala". The record is from RNAcentral. Lineage: Eukaryota; Metazoa; Chordata; Mammalia; Rodentia; Sciuridae.
GGGGUUGUAUCUCAGUGGCAGAGUGCUUGCCUAGCAUGCAUGAGGCAUUGGGUUCGAUACUUAGCACCA